This 557-nucleotide ribosomal RNA is filed under the name Escherichia coli. Its description in RNAcentral is "bacterial SSU rRNA". It matches the Rfam family "Bacterial small subunit ribosomal RNA", at positions 87 to 640 of the family's 1533-position model. The record is from RNAcentral. Lineage: Bacteria; Pseudomonadati; Pseudomonadota; Gammaproteobacteria; Enterobacterales; Enterobacteriaceae.
GCUGACGAGUGGCGGACGGGUGAGUAAUGUCUGGGAAACUGCCUGAUGGAGGGGGAUAACUACUGGAAACGGUAGCUAAUACCGCAUAACGUCGCAAGACCAAAGAGGGGGACCUUCGGGCCUCUUGCCAUCGGAUGUGCCCAGAUGGGAUUAGCUAGUAGGUGGGGUAACGGCUCACCUAGGCGACGAUCCCUAGCUGGUCUGAGAGGAUGACCAGCCACACUGGAACUGAGACACGGUCCAGACUCCUACGGGAGGCAGCAGUGGGGAAUAUUGCACAAUGGGCGCAAGCCUGAUGCAGCCAUGCCGCGUGUAUGAAGAAGGCCUUCGGGUUGUAAAGUACUUUCAGCGGGGAGGAAGGGAGUAAAGUUAAUACCUUUGCUCAUUGACGUUACCCGCAGAAGAAGCACCGGCUAACUCCGUGCCAGCAGCCGCGGUAAUACGGAGGGUGCAAGCGUUAAUCGGAAUUACUGGGCGUAAAGCGCACGCAGGCGGUUUGUUAAGUCAGAUGUGAAAUCCCCGGGCUCAACCUGGGAACUGCAUCUGAUACUGGCAAG